CCCUUAGAUGUUCUGGGCCGCACGCGCGCUACACUGUUCGACGCAGCGAGUCUUAACCUUGACCGAAAGGUUUGGGUAAUCUUCAGCAAAGUCGAACGUGAUGGGGAUCGAUCAUUGCAAUUAUUGAUCGUGAACGAGGAAUUCCUAGUAAGUGCGAGUCAUCAGCUUGCGCUGACUUACGUCCCUGCCCCUUGUACACACCGCCCGUCGCUGCCCGGAACUGAGCCGUUUCGAGAAAGCCGGGGACUGACGGCUUGUGGGUGCGCAAGCGCUUCUUGCCGAUGGAAACCAGUUUAAUCGGUAUGGCUUGAACCGGGCAAAAGUCGUAACA
Molecule: ribosomal RNA, 331 nt
Filed under: uncultured eukaryote
Lineage: Eukaryota
Description: partial 18S ribosomal RNA
Rfam family: Eukaryotic small subunit ribosomal RNA
Source: RNAcentral